AUCCCAUAGAUAAUCUAAUCAAUAAUCUAACAAAGGCCAUAAAUGUAGCUAUUGCCCAUAAAAUGGUUCCAAUAACAAUGUACAUUAGCCAAGCUCAUCAUUUGGUAGACAAUCAAGGACAAAGUAGGCAAAUUAAUAGUAGUAGUAAGAAAAAUCUAUCAAAGUUUUAACUUAUUCCUAUUUAGUAUGUGAGUAUUAAGACAAAUUCUUCAACCUUAAUGACAAGUUGUUAA
Molecule: long non-coding RNA, 233 nt
Filed under: Physcomitrium patens
Lineage: Eukaryota; Viridiplantae; Streptophyta; Bryopsida; Funariales; Funariaceae
Description: long non-coding RNA (PPAT_LNC008481)
Source: RNAcentral